GAUGAAGAACGUAGCGAAAUGCGAUACGUAAUGUGAAUUGCAGAAUUCAGUGAAUCAUCGAGUCUUUGAACGCACAUUGCGCCCCCUGGUAUUCCGGGGGGCAUGCCUGUCCGAGCGUCAUUGCUGCCCUCAAGCACGGCUUGUGUGUUGGGCCUCCGUCCUCCUCCCGGGGGACGGGCCCGAAAGGCAGCGGCGGCACCGCGUCCGGUCCUCGAGCGUAUGGGGCUUCGUCACCCGCUCUUGUAGGCCCGGCCGGCGCUUGCCGACACAUCAAUCUUUUUUCCAGGUUGACCACGGAUCAGGUAGGGAUACCCGCUGAACUUAAGCAUAUCAAUAAGCGGAGGA
Molecule: unclassified non-coding RNA, 345 nt
Filed under: soil metagenome
Description: partial contains 5.8S ribosomal RNA, internal transcribed spacer 2, and large subunit ribosomal RNA
Rfam family: 5.8S ribosomal RNA (bases 1-120)
Source: RNAcentral